This 466-nucleotide long non-coding RNA is filed under the name Brassica rapa (field mustard). Its description in RNAcentral is "long non-coding RNA (BRAP_LNC008870)". Lineage: Eukaryota; Viridiplantae; Streptophyta; Magnoliopsida; Brassicales; Brassicaceae. The record is from RNAcentral.
GAACAUUAGCUCGAUCCCUUCCUGCUAUCUGAGCCAGCUGCUCAGUCACAGUAGCCAGUGCGGCUUGGAGUUCAGCAUGGUUAGCCAUCAGCUGAGCAUUAAUCUCGGCUUGUGUUGGUGCUCCAUUUAGGUCUCCCAUCUUUUCCUGCGACAAGAGAGGAAAGAAAAAGUGACUUGCAAAGAAUCAAAGAAGAAGGAAAGGAUAUUUAACUAAAGUAUGCAAUGAAGGUAAAACUUCCCUUUUUUUUUUGUUAAAAUCGAAAAUUUAAAAAUGGGAAAGUACAAUCUUUUUUUUUUUUUAAAUAUGGAAAAACUUGAAGUGCAAGCCAAGAAAAUUAAAUGCAAUUAAAUGGAAAUCCGAUCAAAAAGGAAAGUAAAAAUCGAUGGAUGCCAAAAACAAGUUACUUGAAUGAAAGAUGCACAAAAAUGGAUCAAAAGAUAUGCAAGAAAACCAGUUUGAACUCGC